This 777-nucleotide ribosomal RNA is filed under the name uncultured bacterium. Its description in RNAcentral is "bacterial SSU rRNA". It matches the Rfam family "Bacterial small subunit ribosomal RNA", at positions 8 to 796 of the family's 1533-position model. The record is from RNAcentral.
AGAGUUUGAUCCUGGCUCAGGAUGAACGCUGGCGGCGUGCUUAACACAUGCAAGUCGAACGGUGAACACGGAGCUUGCUCUGUGGGAUCAGUGGCGAACGGGUGAGUAACACGUGAGCAACCUGCCCCUGACUCUGGGAUAAGCGCUGGAAACGGCGUCUAAUACUGGAUAUGUGACGUGAUCGCAUGGUCUGCGUCUGGAAAGAAUUUCGGUUGGGGAUGGGCUCGCGGCCUAUCAGCUUGUUGGUGAGGUAAUGGCUCACCAAGGCGUCGACGGGUAGCCGGCCUGAGAGGGUGACCGGCCACACUGGGACUGAGACACGGCCCAGACUCCUACGGGAGGCAGCAGUGGGGAAUAUUGCACAAUGGGCGCAAGCCUGAUGCAGCAACGCCGCGUGAGGGACGACGGCCUUCGGGUUGUAAACCUCUUUUAGCAGGGAAGAAGCGAAAGUGACGGUACCUGCAGAAAAAGCGCCGGCUAACUACGUGCCAGCAGCCGCGGUAAUACGUAGGGCGCAAGCGUUAUCCGGAAUUAUUGGGCGUAAAGAGCUCGUAGGCGGUUUGUCGCGUCUGCUGUGAAAUCCGGAGGCUCAACCUCCGGCCUGCAGUGGGUACGGGCAGACUAGAGUGCGGUAGGGGAGAUUGGAAUUCCUGGUGUAGCGGUGGAAUGCGCAGAUAUCAGGAGGAACACCGAUGGCGAAGGCAGAUCUCUGGGCCGUAACUGACGCUGAGGAGCGAAAGGGUGGGGAGCAAACAGGCUUAGAUACCCUGGUAGUCC